AUCCUUUCGUACUAAGCUGACAUAAAAAAACCAGAAGAUAGAAACCAACCUGGCUUACGCCGGUCUGAACUCAGAUCAUGUAAAAUAUUACGGGUCGAACAGACCCUAAAAUGAAGCUACUGCACCACAUCUAAAUUUUAGUCCAACAUCGAGGUCGCAAACCUUUUUGUCGAUUAGAACUCUCAAAAAAGAUUACGCUGUUAUCCCUAAGGUAAUUUUUUCUUAUUUUCUUUUUUAAAGGAUCAAAAAAUACAUUCAUAAAAGUUUAUAAAAAAAAGAGUUUUUCUUAUCUUAAUGUCGCCCCAACAAAUUACAGCCAAAAAUCAAAUCGAUAAAUACCUAAUACAAAAUGAAAAAUUACUGUAUAAAACUCUAUAGGGUCUUCUCGUCUUCCAGGAACAUUUCAGUUUUUUCACUGAAAAAAUAAAUUCUAUAUUUGUAGCAAAAAAAGUAAAUUUCUCGUUUAGCCAUUCAUACCAGUCCUCAAUU
This 489-nucleotide ribosomal RNA is filed under the name Microeuraphia rhizophorae. RNAcentral describes it as "partial 16S ribosomal RNA". The record is from RNAcentral. Lineage: Eukaryota; Metazoa; Arthropoda; Thecostraca; Balanomorpha; Chthamalidae.